GAUGAGCGCUGGCGGCGUGCCUAAUACAUGCAAGUCGAGCGAACGGACGAGAAGCUUGCUUCUCUGAUGUUAGCGGCGGACGGGUGAGUAACACGUGGAUAACCUACCUAUAAGACUGGGAUAACUUCGGGAAACCGGAGCUAAUACCGGAUAAUAUUUUGAACCGCAUGGUUCAAAAGUGAAAGACGGUCUUGCUGUCACUUAUAGAUGGAUCCGCGCUGCAUUAGCUAAUUGGUAAGGUAACGGCUUACCAAGGCAACGAUGCAUAGCCGACCUGAGAGGGUGAUCGGCCACACUGGAACUGAGACACGGUCCAGACUCCUACGGGAGGCAGCAGUAGGGAAUCUUCCGCAAUGGGCGAAAGCCUGACGGAGCAACGCCGCGUGAGUGAUGAAGGUCUUCGGAUCGUAAAACUCUGUUAUUAGGGAAGAACAUAUGUGUAAGUAACUGUGCACAUCUUGACGGUACCUAAUCAGAAAGCCACGGCUAACUACGUG
RNAcentral lists this ribosomal RNA (497 nucleotides) under uncultured bacterium. Its description in RNAcentral is "partial 16S ribosomal RNA". It matches the Rfam family "Bacterial small subunit ribosomal RNA", at positions 28 to 507 of the family's 1533-position model. The record is from RNAcentral.